Molecule: unclassified non-coding RNA, 262 nt
Filed under: Schizosaccharomyces japonicus
Lineage: Eukaryota; Fungi; Ascomycota; Schizosaccharomycetes; Schizosaccharomycetales; Schizosaccharomycetaceae
Description: partial internal transcribed spacer region
Rfam family: Eukaryotic small subunit ribosomal RNA (bases 1-46)
Source: RNAcentral
AAGUCGUAACAAGGUUUCCGUAGGUGAACCUGCGGAAGGAUCAUUAGAAAGUAAUUAUUUGAGUUUUCAACAUUCACCUGCUGAACUCUCAAAAAAUCUCUCUAUAUCUUUCUGUGAACAUGUUUUCAUAUGAGAAUGUUUGGUCAGUCGGUCGAAAGGUUGGUUGGCCAAGCAUUUGAACUAUAAACUUCAUUUUAUAUUUGAUGUCUGAUUUAUAUUUAACUAAAUGUUAAAACUUUCAGCAACGGAUCUCUUGGCUCUC